This 125-nucleotide ribosomal RNA is filed under the name Castor canadensis (American beaver). Lineage: Eukaryota; Metazoa; Chordata; Mammalia; Rodentia; Castoridae. The record is from RNAcentral.
CAUGGCACAUCCCACUCCAAAUACACCUGAUCUCGUCUUGUCUUGGAAGCUAAGCAGUAUCAGGUCUGGUUAGUACUUGCAAGGGAGACCUUUGCCAAGUCAUCUGAGAAGAUUGGAAGGCAGGU